UCGCAGGCUCCCUCCUGCUCUCCGGCACCGUGCGAGGCAGCGACGGCUCGGUGGAACCUUUCACCAAGGGAGGAUAAGAGCCUCCAGAAGAACAUGUUUCCAGAUGCUGGCCUGGCCUGCAGAAGGUGCUUUAUAAAUGAAGUGCUGACAGUCAGGCAAGAAACAAAUGAAAGUGUUCUGGAAUGCUUCCUUCAGGGCUGGAGAAGCCACUGUAACCUGAAGGUAUCUGGAACCAGCUUAAAUAGCAUUAAAAGUUUCUGUAAGACCUUGUCUCUUACCAUUAUUCUGAGCACCUAACUUCAGCAGCACUUGGUUAUUGAACUAGAAACUUGCCUUUGUAAUAGUGCCUAAAUUCUGUUGUUUAAAGUAAUGAAAGGGCAUUAAUUUCCUCAAGAAUCUACAGUAUUUAGGCUCAUAAUGUUUGGGAAGAUCCUGGAGGAUCUUACAGCUUUAUACUCCACUGGGACAGGCAGGAAUGCUGCCAAGAUCAGCAGUUCUGGCUGCCACACAUGAGGCUAUGCAGGUGGGUGAGCACUGCCAUGCCAUGGCAAGAGGCCUUAGGAUGAGGAGAAAAGGGCAGUUCUCAGAUUGAAAUGAAUAAUAUAGCCCUGAUCAGGUUUCUCUAAAUCCCAUUGCCCUUGUCCAGAUCAGGGUACGUACCAAAGAUUUACAUGAGUUAGUAU
RNAcentral lists this long non-coding RNA (683 nucleotides) under Cyanistes caeruleus (blue tit). RNAcentral describes it as "lncRNA (ENSCCEG00000009463.1)". Lineage: Eukaryota; Metazoa; Chordata; Aves; Passeriformes; Paridae. The record is from RNAcentral.